AUGGGAUCUUCUGCGCCAGGGCUCUCUGCAGUGCAUCCUGCUACCACUUCACGUCGCACACGGCUACAACAAGGUCUGAUUAAACCCAUUGAUUAUAAACAUGUUGCAAAAUAUGGGAUGAUCUGUUCAACAGGUGAACCAGGAGAACCCAAUACUCUUGAAGAGGCCCUCGGUGAUGCAUAUUGGAGAAAGGCAAUGCAUGAUGAAAUUGUGGCAUUAAGGAGAAAUAAAACAUGGCACCUGGUUCCUCCAAGACAAGGUAAAAAUCUUAUUGACUGCAAGUGGGUCUUUAGGAUAAAAAGAAAAGCUGAUGGAACUAUUGACCGCUACAAAGCCAGACUUGUUGCAAAGGGUUUUAAACAAAGGUAUGGUAUUGACUAUGAGGACACAUUUAGUCCGGUUGUUAAAGCAGCUACCAUACGCCUUGUCCUGUCCAUUGCUGUGUCUAGGGGAUGGAGUCUACGACAGCUAGACGUUCAGAACGCGUUUCUUCAUGGUGUUCUGGAAGAAGAGGUUUACAUGAAACAACCGCCUGGGUUUGUAAAUGCACAGGUACCACUUCAUGUGUGCAAACUUGACAAGGCUUUGUAUGGACUGAAACAGGCUCCAAGAGCGUGGUAUUCUCGUCUCAGUAAAAAGAUGCAAGCACUUGGUUUUAUUCCUUCGAAGUCUGACACUUCAUUAUUCAUUUAUAACAAGUCAAAAAUAUUCAUAUUUGUUCUCAUUUAUGUUGAUGAUAUAAUUGUGACAAGUUCAUCUGACGAAGCAAUAACAGCACUGUUGAAGGAUUUAAGUGCAGAAUUUGCUCUCAAGGAUCUAGGAGAUCUACACUACUUUCUUGGCAUUGAGGUUAAGCAGCACAAGGAUGGCCUUCAUCUCUCUCAAGAAAAGUAUGCAACUGACUUAGUAAAAAAGGCUGGUCUACAGAGUUGUAAGCAUGCGCCCACUCCUUUAUCUAGCACAGAAAAAUUAUUUCUUGCUGAAGGAGAACUUCUGGACUCAGAAAAUAGUACAAAGUACAGAAGUUUGGUAGGUGCUCUUCAAUACUUGACAUUGACACGGCCAGAUAUCUCAUUUGCUGUCAACAAAGUAUGUCAAUUCCUUCAUGCACCUACCACAGUUCACUUGACUGCUGCAAAGCGCAUAGUGAGAUAUGUGAAAAAUACAUUAAGCAUUGGUUUGAAUUUUAGCAAGUCAUCUUCCACACUUAUCAGUGCUUUCUCUGACUCAGAUUGGGCAGGAUGCUUAGAUGAUAGACGCUCAACCGGUGGUUUUGCAGUAUUCUUUGGACCUAAUUUGAUAUCUUGGAGUGCAAGGAAGCAAGCCACGGUUUCUAGAUCUAGCACAGAAGCAGAAUACAAAGCAUUGGCCAAUGCAACCACAGAGAUCAUAUGGGUGCAGUCAAUUUUGAAAGAACUAGGCAUGAAAAACACUAAGGCUCCAUGUCUAUGGUGUGAUAAUCUAGGUGCUACCUAUUUGUCAGCAAAUCCAAUUUUCCAUGCUAGAACUAAACAUAUUGAGAUAGAUUUUCACUUUGUUCGUGAGAGAGUUGCAAACAAACUCUUAGACAUUCGGUUUAUUCACUCCCAAGACCAAGUUGCAGAUGGGUUUACCAAAGCUCUUCCUACAAAAAGUUUCGAGGCUUUCAAG
Molecule: ribosomal RNA, 1650 nt
Filed under: Triticum aestivum (bread wheat)
Lineage: Eukaryota; Viridiplantae; Streptophyta; Magnoliopsida; Poales; Poaceae
Description: partial small subunit ribosomal RNA
Source: RNAcentral